GCAUAUCAAUAAGCGGAGGGAAAAGAAACCCACAGGGAUUUCCUCAGUAACGGCGAGUGAAGCGGUAACAGCUCAAAUUUGAAAUCUGGCCUCACGGUCCGAGUUGUAAUUUGUAGAGGAUGCUUCGAGCAUGGUCUGGCCUAAGUUCCUUGGAACAGGACGUCAUAGAGGGUGAGAAUCCCGUAUGCGGCCAGGUGCCUACGCUCAUGUGAAGCUCCUUCGACGAGUCGAGUUGUUUGGGAAUGCAGCUCAAAAUGGGUGGUAAAUUUCAUCUAAAGCUAAAUAUUGGCCAGAGACCGAUAGCGCACAAGUAGAGUGAUCGAAAGAUGAAAAGCACUUUGGAAAGAGAGUUAAACAGUACGUGAAAUUGUUGAAAGGGAAGCGCUUGCAACCAGACUUGCGCGCGGCCGAUCAUCCGGUGUUCUCACCGGUGCACUCGGCCGUGCUCAGGCCAGCAUCGGUUUUGGCGGCUGGAUAAAGGCCCUAGGAAUGUAGCUCCUCUCGGGGAGUGUUAUAGCCUAGGGUGCAAUGCAGCCUGCUGGGACCGAGGACCGCGCUUCGGCUAGGAUGCUGGCGUAAUGGUUGUAAGCGGCCCGUCUUGAAACACGGACCAAGGAGUCUAACAUCUAUGCGAGUGUUUGGGUGUCAAACCCAUACGCGUAAUGAAAGUGAACGGAGGUGAGAACCCUUAAGGGUGCAUCAUCGACCGGUCCUGAAGUUUACGGAAGGAUCUGAGUAAGAGCAUAGCUGUUGGGACCCGAAAGAUGGUGAACUAUGCCUGAAUAGGGUGAAGCCAGAGGAAACUCUGGUGGAGGCUCGCAGCGGUUUUGACGUGCAAAUCGAUCGUCAAAUUUGGGUAUAGGGGCGAAAGACUAAUCGAACCAUCUAGUAGC
This 893-nucleotide ribosomal RNA is filed under the name Pseudogymnoascus pannorum. Its description in RNAcentral is "LSU rRNA". It matches the Rfam family "Eukaryotic large subunit ribosomal RNA", at positions 38 to 951 of the family's 3401-position model. Lineage: Eukaryota; Fungi; Ascomycota; Leotiomycetes; Thelebolales; Thelebolaceae. The record is from RNAcentral.